AGCGAACGCUGGCGGCAGGCCUAACACAUGCAAGUCGAACGGAUCCUUCGGGAUUAGUGGCGGACGGGUGAGUAACACGUGGGAACGUGCCCUUUGGUUCGGAACAACUCAGGGAAACUUGAGCUAAUACCGGAUGUGCCCUUCGGGGGAAAGAUUUAUCGCCAUUGGAGCGGCCCGCGUCUGAUUAGCUAGUUGGUGAGGUAACGGCCCACCAAGGCGACGAUCAGUAGCUGGUCUGAGAGGAUGAUCAGCCACACUGGGACUGAGACACGGCCCAGACUCCUACGGGAGGCAGCAGUGGGGAAUCUUGCGCAAUGGGCGAAAGCCUGACGCAGCCAUGCCGCGUGAAUGAUGAAGGUCUUAGGAUUGUAAAAUUCUUUCAGCGGGGACGAUAAUGACGGUACCCGCAGAAGAAGCGCCGACUAACUUCGUG
Molecule: ribosomal RNA, 433 nt
Filed under: uncultured bacterium
Lineage: Bacteria
Description: partial 16S ribosomal RNA
Rfam family: Bacterial small subunit ribosomal RNA
Source: RNAcentral